RNAcentral lists this ribosomal RNA (497 nucleotides) under uncultured bacterium. Its description in RNAcentral is "partial 16S ribosomal RNA". It matches the Rfam family "Bacterial small subunit ribosomal RNA", at positions 28 to 507 of the family's 1533-position model. The record is from RNAcentral.
GAUGAACGCUGGCGGCGUGCCUAAUACAUGCAAGUCGAGCGAACAGACGAGGAGCUUGCUCCUCUGACGUUAGCGGCGGACGGGUGAGUAACACGUGGAUAACCUACCUAUAAGACUGGGAUAACUUCGGGAAACCGGAGCUAAUACCGGAUAAUAUAUUGAACCGCAUGGUUCAAUAGUGAAAGACGGUUUUGCUGUCACUUAUAGAUGUAUCCGCGCCGCAUUAGCUAGUUGGUAAGGUAACGGCUUACCAAGGCAACGAUGCGUAGCCGACCUAAGAGGGUGAUCGGCCACACUGGAACUGAGACACGGUCCAGACUCCUACGGGAGGCAGCAGUAGGGAAUCUUCCGCAAUGGGCGAAAGCCUGACGGAGCAACGCCGCGUGAGUGAUGAAGGUCUUCGGAUCGUAAAACUCUGUUAUUAGGGAAGAACAAAUGUGUAAGUAACUAUGCACGUCUUGACGGUACCUAAUCAGAAAGCCACGGCUAACUACGUG